CAUUGAGUUCUACUAUUCGUCAAACUUUGGAAGAUCCCAAUUCUAUGUUUUUACCAAUCGGGCAACCACCUCACAGGGACACCUUGCCAUGGUGCAUGCUUCACCAAUCAUACAACACCUUACAUUUGCGUGUGUUCUUGAGAAAAAUAAUGAUCUGCAUAUGUCCACUUAACUGAUAUGCCUAUCUUAGCCUACAUUGAACUCUCACCGCAUUUCCUCCGCUGAGUAUUCAGAUUCACCUAACACGAUACUCAUAUAAACACACAUUUGUCUUUUGUGAUACACUUUCAUUAGCAAUUGGUACUCUAUAUAUACCCUUUCUCAUCCACAUUAAUAGUCUUUUUUUUUGCAUCACACCUCCAUAUGUGUUUGGCAUGUGUUUAGUUAAAUUCUUAGUUUGAGCUAUGUCUUUAACUCGAAUCUUACUAUUACUAAUUGGAGGCUCCUUUUGAAGCCUCCAGAUGAAGCCACCUAGGAUUCCUAGGUAGACACUCUAGAAAAAAAGAGAAAUCCUAGAAAUUCUCACAAAAAAGCAAAACAUCCGACCAUCAAUCGACAGAUUCAAAUCAUCAUAGCCAUUGGAUCUAUUAUGUUUUCUAAAAAAUUACCCACCUAUGCUAUUAUGAAAAUAGCCUAAAGUAACCCCCUAAAUCUAUAUAUAAAUUACCCACCUCUGCCAUUAUAUAAAAUAAACUAAAGUAACCCCCUAAUCUUCAUCAAAAUUACCCACUUAUGCCAUUAUAAACAAUAUUUAAAAUGACUUCCUAAUUUGCAACUGAAUUGCCUACCACUAUUACUUUAAAUAUUACUUUAAAACACUUAAACUAACCCCUUAAAUUUGCAUUUAUAUUACCCACAUAAGCUAUUAUUAAAACUAACAUGAGGUAACCCUACGUUUGAAUCAAAUAACCUUAAUUAAAAAUAUACAACAAUAUAUGAUUCUAAAUCGUCUAUAUCUUACACUAUUGGUAUAUGAUAUAAUAAUUAAGAUCUAUACGCAUGAUGUGUGAUGUGUGUCACCAUUUAUAAGGAUAUAAAGUGAUGGGAAUAUACAUUUCUAUGCUAAAAUUGUAUUUAGCAUUAUGGAUAGUUCUAUUAAAUCUAUGAGCACUCAAACUUAGGGUUCAUUAAACAAAUUUAAGCCCAUACAUGCGAUCCAAAGUGGAAAGUUAAAGAUUAUAAAUGUGGAUGAAAAUAUUAUAGAGCAAUUACUAACUGAAAUCUAUCACAAUUGGAUCAAGAUAUUAAGUAUAUAUCUAAAUAAGUAUUGUGUCCGAAUAUUUAAC
Molecule: long non-coding RNA, 1286 nt
Filed under: Setaria viridis
Lineage: Eukaryota; Viridiplantae; Streptophyta; Magnoliopsida; Poales; Poaceae
Description: long non-coding RNA (SVIR_LNC009918)
Source: RNAcentral